Molecule: ribosomal RNA, 605 nt
Filed under: uncultured bacterium
Lineage: Bacteria
Description: bacterial SSU rRNA
Rfam family: Bacterial small subunit ribosomal RNA (bases 1-518)
Source: RNAcentral
CCUACGGGAGGCAGCAGUGGGGAAUAUUGCACAAUGGGCGCAAGCCUGAUGCAGCGACGCCGCGUGAGGGAUGACGGCCUUCGGGUUGUAAACCUCUUUCAGUAGGGAAGAAGCGAAAGUGACGGUACCUGCAGAAGAAGCGCCGGCUAACUACGUGCCAGCAGCCGCGGUAAUACGUAGGGCGCAAGCGUUAUCCGGAAUUAUUGGGCGUAAAGAGCUCGUAGGCGGUUUGUCGCGUCUGCCGUGAAAGUCCGGGGCUCAACUCCGGAUCUGCGGUGGGUACGGGCAGACUAGAGUGAUGUAGGGGAGACUGGAAUUCCUGGUGUAGCGGUGAAAUGCGCAGAUAUCAGGAGGAACACCGAUGGCGAAGGCAGGUCUCUGGGCAUUAACUGACGCUGAGGAGCGAAAGCAUGGGGAGCGAACAGGAUUAGAUACCCUGGUAGUCCAUGCGUAACGUAGGCGACUAGUGGUGGGACGAUCCUACGUUUCCGUCGCCGUCGCUACGCAUAGUGCCCGCCGUCGGGAGGUACGGCCGCGACGGACGUAAACGUACGAAGUUAGUUAGUAGCGUUGNGAGNGCGACGACGACGACGACGGAGGAGGAG